CUUGGGGAACACAAAACACUUGUCUGAAGCCUCCCAGCCUGCCUCAGGAUGGACGUGAAACUGACUGCCCCCUCUCCAAUACCCCAAAAGCCUCUAACCGAGAGGGACAAAAGAACGUAGGAUAAUUCACAGCUAUCAAGAAUCAAAGAACGGAAAUUUGUAGAAGGCUCAGGUUUCACUCCCCACUGAUCUCCUGACCGGCUCCACUCACCAGGACUUGCUCUUCCAAACAUACUUCAAAAAUUUAAAAAGUGGUUCCAACCGGGAGCAUCCACAAGAAUAAGGCUGAGCUGCCUAUGCUGAAAUGGGAAGAGACACAAAAUAUAUCAAGCAGGAAAAAAACACAAGUAAUUUUUUUUUAGUUGGGGAAUAUGGAGCAGCAAGACCAGUGAGAAACGGAUGCGGAAACGAAAACCUAGUUUGGAACCGCUGAAUUUGAUGUGUCACUUCCAAGGAGAUGGUUGCUCAGGAGAGACACUGGGUUGGAGAUGGGUAACUUGGUUUUAAUGAUCAAGCUACUUUAAUUGCUUACUUGAA
Long non-coding RNA from Choloepus didactylus (southern two-toed sloth), 537 nucleotides. RefSeq lists it as uncharacterized. The record is from RefSeq and is a predicted model, not a curated record. NCBI's taxonomy places the organism in Eukaryota, Metazoa, Chordata, Mammalia, Pilosa, Megalonychidae. The transcript has 3 exons.